Non-coding RNA from Punica granatum (pomegranate), 2500 nucleotides. NCBI's taxonomy places the organism in Eukaryota, Viridiplantae, Streptophyta, Magnoliopsida, Myrtales, Lythraceae. The record is from RefSeq and is a predicted model, not a curated record.
CAUAAAUAUUCGUGAUGAAAAAAACGAGCACCCGCAUGAGAGAGGGGGUACCGCACUCAUCUUAGUCAUAAACCAACAGACUAAGAUUUUUUUUUUUGGGUAAAAAAAGAAAAAAAUAUAAGAAAAAAGAAAAACAAAAUAGACCAGAAGUUGAAGCAGUUAGCAGAAAGGCAGAGUAGGGGCUUGUUUGCUGGAGGGGCUCCGGCCACUAUCCCUCCGCUGACUCCCUCUCUGACGGCCAGCACCCCUCGGUCCUCUCUCGGCCGCCGGUCCAUUUCCGUGUCUGACAUUGUUCGUCCCAGUCCACUGCUGCCGUUCCGUUCGACCCAAGCAUCUCGACGGCGUCCCCCGCCGUGAAUCGUCACCGCAGCGUCCUUCUCCGGCGUCUCGGCUUCAGCUGCUGUCUCUUCUGGUCCUUUCAUCCGCUCAACUUUUGUCUCAUUCCGCUGCGCUCCUCAGCCUUUCCCUCACUCUCUGCCAGGUGAAGCACAGGCCGGGACCCAUCCUCUCUGUCUUUGCCUCGAGCGUUUGAUCAGCGCUUCGAUCAGUAUAACCGCCUCGUCCUUUUACUUCAAAGUCUGAUUCCGGUCGUCGUAACUCGUCAUUGAUGUUUUCACUUGCUGGAGAGCAUGCCUAGAGUAGAUUGCGGGAUUGCAUUAUUGCUGCCGAUGCUGAUGCUGCUUUGCUUUGUCAAUAUGAUUAUGGUUUUGAAUAAUGUUUAGGAUCAUGUUUCGAGUCCAUUUUGCUGCCAUGGAAGAUUUGCAUUAAACGUUGAGUUCAUCAUUCCACUUGUUAGGGAAGUAAAUCCCUGAUUUGCUGGCAAUUUUAUCCCGACUUUCUUGUUUUCUUCCUUAUUUAUUGUAAUUAGCCAGCUGUACAUUAUUCGUUCCUUUGAAGUUACCGUAGGCAGGCCGAUGUACAUAUGACACAGCUUUGUAUACAAGCAAUCAAGAGAAUGAGAAUACGUUAACUCUCCAAAUUUAUUAUGGUAUCAGAGCAAAAGCGUUUCUGAGACCUAAAAGAGGGCGAGACAAUGAGCAACAACAAAGGAAGAUGAUUGAUGUCACUUUCUCCUUAUCUUCUGAGCACGUCUGAUGGCACAGGAGCUGUCCUGGUGACUUGCAAGCUCACAAACAUGAGUUAUUCAACCUGGCCUAGGGCCAUGUUGAAUGCUUUACAGGCCAAGAACAAAAUUGGCUUUAUUGAUGGGAGUCUGCAUAAGCCUGAAGAGACAGCAGAGGACUUGGGAGCAUGCAAGAUCUGUAAUGCUACUGUGGUCACCUAGAUCUUUAACUCAUUAAAUACAAGUCUGCCAGCCAGUGUUGCCUAUGUAGAGGAGGCCAAGGCACUCUGGGAUGACCUAAAGCAGCGUUUUUCACAAGGGAAUGCGAUGACGUUCAGCAAAUCAAGGCUGAACUCAGUGUUUUGGCAAGAAGGGCUCACAGGUGGGAAAUAUUACACGGCAUUGAAGGGCUUAUCAGAUAAAUUAGCUGAUUACUCGCCAAUUCCAAAGUGCACAAGUGCUGUAACGACUGAGUUUGUGAAGCGGAGAGAAGAGGAGAGGAUGCAUCAAUUCCUAAUGGGAUUGAAUAUGGAGACGUUUGGGACAAUGCAUUCUCAGAUCCUGACCUAUGAUCCCUUACCAUCGACGGGAAAGGUCUACAACAAUGUGAUUCUAGAAGAAAGCAGAAGAUGGUUGCGAAGGGUCAGGAUAAAUGUCAACAUGGAUGGUGCUGUCCUUGUAGCAAUGGGCAGUGAUCGAACGAGAAAGAAGACUUGCAGCUAUUGUGGGAACGCUGGUCAUGAACGAGCUGAAUGCUAUCGCCUGAUGACCUGCAGCUAUUGUGAAAAGACUGGACACAAGAGAGCUGACUGUUAUCACUUCAAUGGGUAUCCAGUAGAUUGGGAAGCAAGAAGGAAUGGCUCUGGGAGAAAGGACACGGCUCAACAAUCCACUGGCAGGAAUAGAGGGUGGAUCAAAGGCGAGUCAAGCAGGAUUGGGAAGGGACAGUCUUAGCCUGGAGGUUCGAACUGGGGAGCAUAGCCAGGACCUCAGAAGGAUGGACAGUAGAAAAUAGGUUAUCUGGUCAAUGAUAAUCCCUUUGAAGGAUCGUGGAAAAGGGGAGCAACAACUGCUCUUACAAAUGAUCAAGUUCAGCAGGUUCAACAGUUGUUAACUCUGUUACUGUUGACUCACAAAACUAAUUCCGAGCAAUUGGCUGAUUUUUGUGGGAUGCAGGACCGAACCGAGAGGAAGGUGAUUGGAGUGGCUAGGCUGCACGUGGGUCUAUAUCGAUUCGGGUGUGUGGCAUCUCAUUUGGCAUUGGCAACUUUCGAGAAGUGGGAUUUCGAGAGAUGGCUGAUUUAAGCAUUUGAUAUCUCAUAAUUUAUGACUCGCUAUUUUGUGGUGCCCACUGCUCAAACCAAACUGGAAACAUGUGAUUAGAGUACUACAGUUGAAAUUAACCAGCUAAUCUAGAGAAAGUAAAUUUUAAUCCAA